This is a non-coding RNA of Paramuricea clavata, 788 nucleotides long. Lineage: Eukaryota; Metazoa; Cnidaria; Anthozoa; Malacalcyonacea; Plexauridae. The record is from the annotation of a GenBank genome assembly.
GAAGUUUUAUUUAAUCUAGCAUUUCAUGAUCUGACAACUCAGUAUAAUUUUGACCAUAGACAAUCGAGAGGAUUGCGAAUGCAUGGUGUGACAUGCAUAAUUUAUUGUUACUUUCCUCGUUUAAUACAUGCUGUUAAGGUCCCUAUAGCACCAUGAACACUUGCCAGGGGAACUUUAAUGAAUGAAGUUUUGAUCGUGUAAGAAACACGCAACCAAUCGACAAACGGCAGAUUACAGAAAGAAAUUUGAGUUUGGGAAGGGUCAGGUGUGUGGUAGCAUGGUACAUGUGAUUUGAAUGCAUACGUUUGGAUCUCUUCACACGUCAUCGCUUUACUACUUUUCAUCAAAGGCACCAAUUCGACCUGCAAACACUUGCGCGCAGCAUCAAUCCACUUUUUACCAUCCAGAGUAAACUUAUUGUACAUUUUACCAUACUCUUCACAGUAAUGCUCGGCAAAACCAAUAGCAUAAGGAUAAGAGGUGUGUUGGCAAGGGAAGUGUCUCUCGAAACAUUGACGAUACCAAUCACAGGUAUCACCACUUGGAUUGUAACACUCGGCUGGAAGGUUGUCUUCAUCUGCAAAGUGCUCUGCCUGAACAAUUGCCCCAGAAACUGCGGCCACAAGUUUGAUGAAGAACAACAACGCCAAAAAACAUCGACAGUUCAUCUUGCCACUGACUCAGUAUAGGCUUUAAUUUAGCCGUUCCUAUUCAAACAGUAUUAUAUAAGCUCAAAAAAAUAUGCAUCAUAAAGUUUACACAGUACAAGAUUGUCUCUUUUGAAAGUU